UACUCCAGUCCUCUCCACCCCAAGGUAGGCAGCUUCCCGCUCCUCGUCUUGGGACCUAAACCCAGGAAGUCAAAUGUCCUUUUCUAGCAGGUCGCCUGGUUAGAGGCCGUGGACGAAGCGGUCCAGGCACAGCCAGCUGCAGGGCGCGGCCUCGGCGGCGCUGCUCGUGGCCCUGGUCAGUGAGCGCACUCACUCCUGGACUAAGCUCUAUGCAACUCAUUUUCAUCUAGCAUUACCUCUCCAAAACCUGAAUCUCCACAAGAAAGCCACACAGCAAUUAACCAGUGUUGCAAGAACUGCUUCUGUAAUAAAGGUGGGAAGACAAAUUGAUGCAACCCUCUUGAAAAGCAAUCUGGCAAUAUGAACCAAGAGCCAUGAAAAGGCUUAUGCUAUUAUAAUUAAAUGGCUGUAAUGUUGGCUGUAAAUAUGAAAUUUUCUUUCACACACCAAUGUUUUCAAGAAUGGCAUAUUCACAUGCAGUAUGUGUUUCCCCUUGGAAAUAAAAUGUAAAGGAAAACUAUGGAAAAAUAUACUUACUCUAGACAUUCUCUGCAUUGAUUUAUGACAGAUGAAAGAAGCAGUAAAGGAUGCUAACAAAGCUAUUUCUUUGGACAAUCUGAACCUGACGGAGUCUUACUCUGUCGCCCAGGCAGGAGUGCAAUGGCACAAUCUUGGCUCACCACAACCUCCGCCUCCUGGGUUCAAGUGACUCUCCUGCCUGGCCAUAGAAGCAAACACAAACAUAGAGGAAUUGGCUUUGGGCAGAUGGAAGGACCUCAGAGAAAAGAAACAAAGGAAAGAAAACUGGAUGGAUAAAGGUUUGUAGAAAUACUAUUCACAGGAAGCAAAUAGGAAUUCCUUAUCGCUAAACAGACACUAAGUCAAUUGGUAAAGAUCUUGCCAGCUGGUGCCUGGGUGCAUAGACUGCCUAUGGCUCUUGAAUUGCAUGCUGAAAACUUCAUAAUGAAACCAGAAAAUCACAGAAGCAUAAACACAGCUGCUUAUGCCUAUAAAUUAUUGCUGGUGAAAAGGAUGUUUAAGCAGAGUGAGAGACUCUCAGCAAAAAAAGGUAACUGAAAGAGUGGUAAGUCAGACAAAGAAGAAAAAUGCCAAAGAAGAGGGUCAAGAACAACUCAUAUGACUCCGAAAUCCCUUACCCACAUUGGAGUUAUAAAAAGUUCAGGAGCUGGAGACAAAAGGCAGGUUCAUAAAGAGGAUUCCUUGGAGAGAGUUGUUAUAAUGCUAUGAGAAAAUUGAAGCCAACAGAAGUUAACUAACUUGCCUAAAAUAACACAGCUGUGGCAAAUUAGGACCAGAACCAAGGUCUCCUGACCUAAGUGCUACUCCCACCAUACUACAUGAUCUGCUGUUUAAAAUUUUGGUGAGCUUUAUAACAUAAAUAAAACUACAGAUGUGAAGGAC
This is a long non-coding RNA of Homo sapiens (human), 1422 nucleotides long. Ensembl annotates it as long intergenic non-protein coding RNA 3076. Lineage: Eukaryota; Metazoa; Chordata; Mammalia; Primates; Hominidae. The record is from Ensembl.